CGCUCACUCGGGACGUGCUUCAAGCUCCCUUCUUCCAGGUGUGAUUAGGCAAGCCUGGGACCAGAGACCAGAGUGGGAGUGUACUGGACCUGUGUAACAGAGGAAUACCCUACCCUAGGAGAGGGUGUUAAUCCCACAGGAGCAGAAGUUUCAAGACAUCAAAGGACUGAGACUAGCCAGAGACCUCCCUCCAUCUAAGACAGCUAAGCCAUGCUCCUGCCUCAAGUUCCUGCCUUGGCUUUUCUCAGUGAUGGACUGCAACCUAAUGUCUACAAAAGGAUUAAUCAGCUGCAGAGAGCAGAUGCAGAUGCCAAAAGGACUCUUCACUAGCAUAGGACCAAAGACGUUCAAGGUUCGGCAUGGCCAAUGUACAUCUCAGUGGCUGGGUAUUGACUGUGUCAAUUUGCAGUGGACUAAGUGUCUUGGCAAGAGAAAUUGUCCUCCAGCUGGAACCUGAGGACUGGAGCAGAGGUCCUUUGUCAGGCGAUGUUCCUGAAUGAGACUCAUGGCAAGUGACCAGGUGAUGGGUCAACACAACUGACACAUCUCAUUCUUGAGGUGCUUCCUCUUUUAUGGUCCCAGUGGAGGAGAUUCCAUCAGAUGUGAUUCAUAAGCUCCUGCUUUUUAUCCUCCUACUUCUCCUAUGUGAUUUGGUUUAUUCCCAAGCAUCAAUAUUUACUGACAUGAGUAAAUCAUUUGUGUUUCUUAGUGUGCUGG
RNAcentral lists this long non-coding RNA (717 nucleotides) under Cricetulus griseus (Chinese hamster). RNAcentral describes it as "lncRNA (ENSCGRG00015034153.1)". The record is from RNAcentral. Lineage: Eukaryota; Metazoa; Chordata; Mammalia; Rodentia; Cricetidae.